UACGUAGGGAGCAAGCGUUGUCCGGAAUCAUUGGGCGUAAAGCGCGCGUAGGUGGCCCCAUAAGUCCGCUGUGAAAGUCAAAGGCUCAACCUUUGAAAGCCGGUGGAUACUGUGGGACUAGAGUACGGAAGAGGCGAGUGGAAUCCUGGUGUAGCGGUGGAAUGCGCAGAUAUCAGGAGGAACACCAAUAGCGAAGGCAGCUCGCUGGGACGUUACUGACACUGAGACGCGAAAGCGUGGGGAGCAAACAGG
This 252-nucleotide ribosomal RNA is filed under the name uncultured bacterium. RNAcentral's name for it is "partial 16S ribosomal RNA". It matches the Rfam family "Bacterial small subunit ribosomal RNA", at positions 524 to 776 of the family's 1533-position model. The record is from RNAcentral.